GUCCUACAGGCUCUGUGCUGAAACAAAACUCCAAUACAUCUGUGAACAAACCACCAAGGAACGUUUAUCGAAUCCUUUUUCUGCAGUAAGCAGAGUCCAAGUGCUUUCGGGUUUGUCAAAAUGCCUCUCAACCAUUUGGGUUAAGAAUCGCUAUGUUCCCAUUUUGCCAACAGGGAAAUUGAGUCACAAGGUUCCUCAGUAACUUGUGACACAGAUACCAAGGAGAGGCAGCUUCUUCUCAUUGUUUUAUUUUUUAUUAAGAGCUCUCACAAUGAGGGCCCAGGCUGGCCUCCAACUUAGGGGAUUUCUGCUUCAGCCUCUUCAGUGGGGCUGAGGUGACGGGCGCGUGCUACAGUGCUGGGUAAAACAGUGUCUGAUCUGGGAGUCCGGCUCCAGACCGAGCUCGAGAGCACUUCACUGACCUUGGAAAUGCUCUUUUUUUUUUUUUUUGUGAUGGUUGUUUGAAAUCGGGUCACCUGCAAAUAUCAGCCAAGCUGACGCUCCUGGAAAUGGGUUGUUUAUCUUGGUUUCCUGCACAGCAGGCCCUGACCUUUCUGCCUUUGCUUACCUGAUUGUUUUAUGAGCUAAUAAUUUUACACUAUGAUAAAUAUUUGUAGGAAGGAAAGGAUGGGGCAGAGGAGGGACCAAGGGACCUGCUGUGUGUGGGCGCAUACCUAUGCGUUCAUGUGUGCAUGUGUGCAUUCAUGUGUGUGCCUCUGUGUGUGUGUGUGUGUGUGUGCCUGCUUCUGUGUGUGUGUGUGCCUGCUUCUGUGUGUGUGUGUGCCUGCUUCUGUGUGUGUGUGUGCCUGCUUCUGUGUGUGUGUGCCUGCUUCUGUGUGUGUGUGCCUGCCUCUGUGUGUGUGUGUGUGUGCCUGCUUCUGUGUGUGUGUGCCUGCUUCUGUGUGUGUGUGUGUGCCUGCUUCUGUGUGUGUAUGUGUGUGUGUGUGCCUGCUUCUGUGUGUGUAUGUGUGUGUGUGUGCCUGCUUCUGUGUGUGUAUGUGUGUGUGUGCCUGCCUGUGUGUGUAUGUGUGUGUGUGUGCCUGCUUCUGUGUGUGUGUGUGUGUGUGUCUUCUUCUGUGUGUGUGUGUGGCUGCCUCUGUGUGUGUGUGUGGCCUGCCUGUGUGUGUGUGUGCCUGCUUCUGUGUGUGUGUGUGAAUGUGAGUGCUCUAGUAUCAUACGUGUGUGCUGGGCUCAGAGGACACUCUUAGGGAACAGUAGGUGGUCAGUUUUCUCCUUCUACCACGUAGAACUCUGAGACCAUACUCAGGACCAUACUCAGGACCAUCCUCUAGCAUCAUGGGGAGCAGUGGAUUCCCUGGUGACACGGAAAACUCUUCUCACUCCUCCUUGUGGGGUGUCUGUCUUACGCAGGCUUACAUGACAAGUGCCCUUUCCUACUGAGUCACCUGGCCACUCACCUUGACAAAUAGCCCUGGAUAGGCAUCUAGGCAUCUUCGAUUCAACUUUCUUGGUUAUGGCUCCCAAAUUCAAAGCGGAGCGCCUCUUUUCUUGUACACGCCUGUUAGUCAAGUGCUUGACUCUGUGGCUUCUGACUAUAUCCAAGACCAAGAAGGAUGACGUAACGAGAAAGCUCGGUGCUUUUUCUCUGGGAGUAUCGCUGUCAUGCAGUUAUAUAGGUUCACGACUUCAGGCUGUCCCGUUCCCAUCAUUCUCCAUAAAACGGUUGCCCUGCACAGGAGCCACAAUGUAUGGCAAUUGCCCAGGUCGAGGUCGGGUGGGGUGGGGUGAGGGUAAUUGCAGGACUGUAAUCGUUACGGACACAAUCUGGCUUAUCUGAGUGGCUCUGGGUGUAUCCCUGUGCCAUAUCACAAGGCACCAGGAAGUCCUGACAGUGGCGCCUGGAAACCUGCCCUGUCUGAGGCGGGUUCUUGAGGGAGUGUUGGCAGCGGCAUCGCCCCAUCCACACGGUGCGCUGACCAUCCUCUAGCAUCGUGGGGAGCAGUGGGUUCCCUGGUGACAUGGAAAACUCUUCUCACUCCUCCUGGUGGGGUGUCUGUCUUAUGCAUCUCUCAUCUCUACCAAGGAGGCCAACAGCACCUUUUCAUUUCAAAGUGUGAGCAUCCAAACUGUCCCCAUUGUCCCCAGGGACUGAAGUUGUUCAGGCACGAAAAGCAAAUGCUUCGGAGGUCACUAUUAUCUACCACGUGGCCAGUAGCCACGUGUGGGUCAGCUCUGGUCCAACCUGUGCUCUAAGAACAAAAUAUGCACCAGAGUUUGGUCAGUCAGUCUGAAGGUAAAUGCAACAUACCCCACUGACGAUUUUAAAGCAUCGAUUCCAUGUUAAAAGGAUAAUACUUUGCAUCCGGUUGGCUAAUUCAAAUAUUCUGUGAUACUCGCUUCAUCUAUCCAUUUCGGUGUGUUGGGGUGCGUGUAGGCACGGGAAGGGCAUAUGAGCAGCUGCCCAACAUGGUUGGUGGGAAUCAAACUUAUGUGGGUAGUGGGAACUGAGCUUGGGUCACCUGAAUUCCUGCCAUAGCUGGUUACACGGUCCUCCCAUGUCACUGUCUAGGUCACCAUGGCAGGCUUCAUCGGUCACUCAGCCAUGCUCUUGACUUCUGUCUCUUCCUUCUGGGAUACCCAGAUCCCAUUAAACCUCCAUCAAAGAAGCAUCCAUGGUUAUCUCAUGAUGCCCCCAAGGAAGCCCAGACUCCCUAGCUGCAUCCUCUGUCUUAGUGUAAGCUGCCUAUAGCUGGGGUAUGAUUUUAGAGACCAUCUCUAUGGCUCUCACUUCCUGUUUCAGUCAGAUGCGCCCAUAACCUCUCUACCACUCCGUUCACUCUCUCCUUCAACCUGUCAAAUCCCCAUGACUGUUUAACAUCUCUCCCCAGAGACAGGAAGACCAUAAGAGCCAGAGAUGAUGAACGACUCCUGGGAAACAGGGUCUUCCAAACACGAGGCUGGUGUACAUAUAAACUCACGAAGACCGUAGAAACAUGCACAAGUCUGUCAGGGUCCCCGCCCUGAGAUGGAUGGAUGGAGAAGUGAACAUGGCCUCCCAGCCCUACCCGAGAAACUGUAUGCAGUUGAUCUCCACCGGCCAUGGGAAAAUUGGUUUCCUCAAAUGGGUAGUUGGCCAACACAAAAUGAGCUCAAGGGUGGUUUUGUAGAUUUUGUUUCACUUUACUUUGUUUUGUUUGUCUGUUUUGUUUUGUCAUUUGGUCUCUUGGUUGUUUAUUUUGACUUCUAUUUUCGUGGGGCAUGUGUGUGUGUGUGUGUGUGUGUGUGUGUGUGUGUAUUUCUUGUUUUGUUUAUGCAUUGUUUGUUGUUGGUGACUUUUAAGAUAGACAGAGGGGGAAAAAGAAGAUAAAGUCUGGUGGGUAGGGAGGACAGGAGGAUCCUAGAGCCAUUGGAAGAGGAGAAAACAUGUGAUCAAAAGAUAUUGUAUGAAAAUAUUUUUUUAUUGAAAAAUAAAAUCUCUCCUCCUCCCAGGAGCCUUUCCAGUUACCAUGGUGAUCUAGACAACUAUAAUUGAGAGUGCCUCAAGGAAAAUGGCAGGUAGGGUUCUCCUUCGCUCCUGUGUCUUUGGCUUUUCUUUCUUCUUCGUGAAGGACCUCCCUCCAUGUUUUCUGAAUCUCUGAAUAGCCACUCAGGAUUGACUUCUAUGACUAUGUUUUCCAGCGUUAGACAGGAUGCUCAGAGAGUGGCGGUCGUCAUGAGUGUAAGGUUCCUACCGUUUCUCAGCACGGCCCAUGGUUGGUGAGUUCCUAGGAUGUGGCUGUCUCUCUCCCCCUCCUGGUAGAUCAACAUUGGGACUGGAGUCUAUUUAAAUUACAUCAGCCAACCAGAAUGAGCACACAGCCCACAUCGGGUCAGCCUGCCCUGAGCCACCUUGUUGCUCCAUCUGCAUUCCAGAAGAUCAGCCAUUGUUCAUCUGUCUGGCAGGACAACGAAGACGAAGGACAAAGGUCCUCUCCGGUGUUCUUGGCUCAGGCUGUGAAUAGGGAAGAAUGAGGAGGAAGUUUUAUAAAACGGCUGUGUGCACCAGGUUGAAGAACCCAGGCAGGUUCCCAGGGCUUCUGGGCUCUCUGCUUAGGAUAGCCAGCAGGUGGCUCUGCUGCACAGUGAGGUGACACGAACCAGAAGCGGGCACAGAAAAGCUUUCUAGGCUGCUUGAGCGGGUUCUGAGGGCUGCCUUCUUGGGAGAAGGGAAGAGGGACAUUUUAGGGUUCAGGAGGAGGAGUGAAGGUUAGAAAGGCAAGACAAAGUGAAGGUGACAGACAGGAGUGCACAGUGGAGAGGAAUCAGCAGCUGGAGAAACUCCAUGAGAGGGCCAGCUCUGUAGGGAACAUGGCCAAAGUUGGCUGGGUAUGAAGGGAAGCACACAUCUUCAGGAGGAAGGCAGGGUCUGGGUUUGAUUCCCCACUCUUCUUCUGGCCAUAGAGUUUUGGGCAAAUGCCCCAGUCUCUCUGUCUCCUACCCUGUGAACUGAAGCUCUAAUGCCAUUACAGGGUUGUUGGACCAUAUAAAUGAGAGUCCAGGAGACAGGGAGCUGCCGCCAUACAGAUGUUAGAAGUGUCAUUGGGUAUAGCACCUUGUUGGACACGCAUUAAUCAGCAUGAACUAAGCAGCGUGCACUGUGGCAAGGCACACAGCCUUGUGAGCACUCGGGGACUCUUAUUUAUCUGCAGGGGACCAGGCUAUGAGGAGACAUUGUCUACAGACCUGUGCGGCCUCCACCAGUCACCUGUCCUAGCCCCACUGAAGAAGCAACUAGGGAACUCAGGAACCAGAUUCUCUCAAACUGGAAAGGCUGUGGAGAUGUGGGUGUGUGGUCACUGAGAACAGGCCUGUGUCGGGGCAUCAAGAGGAACCACCAUUUAUCACAGGGAAGAGGAGCUGUGUGGGUGGGGAACAGUUUGAAAGACAGGAGGCCACAGCCUGGAAGCUGAGUUUUCCUCCUUCCUGAGAAGAUGUGUGGACAGGAACAUGCUCCCUCCAGGGGAGCCUGAGGUGUUCUGGCUUAGAGAAGCUCAGGGGUCUUAGCAUCCACACCCUAACCCUGCCACUGGUCAUGUGGCCGUAGGGCAAGUGACAUAAAACUCCUUUAGGUUUACUGACUGCCAUGGAAGAGUUGUAAGUCAUCAGUGAGUCAGCCUGGGUAGUGCCAGGUAGAGUGUGACAUUGCCAUGAGGCAGAGGAAGUGAAGAGGAUUGUUAAGAUCUCAUUGUUCCAAACAAUUUCAUUUUAAUUCACCUUCACUUUCAGGGAGGGUCACAGCAGGUUAGAACUAUGAAGGGAAUUUAAUACACACACACACACACACACACACACACACACACACACACACACCACCUUCUUCCCAGGCGGAGUUAUUACUCAUGGUGAGUCAGGGGAGGUGGGGCUUGUCUCUUGACUUUAAGUCAAAUGUUUCAGAAAAUCGUUAUACCUCAGGCCACUGAGAUGGAUCAUCGGGUAAAGGUAGCUGGCUAUUUGAGUUGGGUCCCCAGUAUCCAUGAAAAGAUGAAGGACAGAAUCAACUUCAUAGAGUUGUCCUAUCUAUACCACAGCAAACCUUCCUGGAUACACACACAGAGACAGACACACACACUACACAUACACACACACAUCAUCGUUGUCGUCAUCAUCGUCGUCGUCGUCAUCAUCAUCAUCGUCAUCGUCAUCAUCAUCGUCGUCGUCGUCGUCGUCAUCAUCAUCAUCAACAACAACAACAACAACACCGAUAAAUGAAGUGCACUCCCAGCAGCCCAGUGUAGUGAAAACUCACUUUUAAAAUUACAUUUUGUGUGUCUGCGUGUGCAUGUGCAGAAGUGGGCGUGUGCUAUGUAUGGCACACCGUGAGUGGGGCCCAGAGGAAAACCUAUAGGAAUUGGUCCUCUCCUUACGCCAUAUGGAUUCUGGGGACCAAACUCCAGUAGUCGAGCUUGGUGGUAAGUGCCUUUACUUCACGAGCCAUCUCUUUGCUCUGAGAAGCCUUUCUAUUUUGUUGUCGUCGUGUUUAUUUUGAAGACAGGGAGGGUCUCACUCUGGAGCCCUCAACAGCCUAGAGCACCUUCUAUAGACCAGGCUGAGAUCUGCCUGUCUCUGCCUCCUGAGUGCUGGAAUUAAAGGUGUACACCACCACGCCCCACCUGAAAUGUUAUUCUUGAAGAAAUUAAGUACCCCUCCCCACGCACACACACUUCUCUCAGAUGCUUUCUGGAGCUAGCAGCAGAGAAUAUAGUUUGUAUUGUCAACACAAUCGUUGUAUGAAGCAAGUUUUCAUGUGGGACGUCUAUGUAGCCAAGUAUGAGUAAUUACCUAUCUGCUCAUUCUCCAUGAUUGAAUCUACAAAUAAGGCUGUCAGUACAAUGCAUGCCCCUUAAUCUGUGCUGAUUGAUGUAUGCAUAUUGGACGUAGAUCCAUACAAAAGGACAGUUCUUCCACCUACCUGAUGGGAAAAUGAAUUAUCUUUCCUUCCGUCUUGGGCUUAUCUGCACUCCAUGACUGUUCCCAAAUGAACGCACACGUCCACAGCCCCAGAGAUCACUCUCAUUGCGUAACCGGCGAUGAGCCAUCUACUUGAAAGAGUGCCUCUUCUCUAGGGAUUAGCUACUGGUCCCAUCUAAUGCCUUAAAACAAAAGGAUGUGGGGGAUGUGUUCAUCAGAUCGUCACACGAUACUAAAUUUGGUGGGAUGGCUCACACUCAGCAAGCCAAGAAUAAAAUUCAAAACAACCAUGACAAAUUGAAAACAUGGCCCUACAGAAUCCGGAUGAAAUUCAAUAGGACAAUUAUAAGGUGACAUACAGCUAAAAGCAGCCGCCAUAUGUUAACGGAUAAAAAAAUGGGUCCAGUACCCGAUGAUCAGUCAGCAACUACCAGGUGAGUCCCUCCCAGGCUCUACGCUAAAGGUAGAAGCACCCCAAAACAAGAUCGCCCCAGGGAUCCUCAUUUCUGAAUUUGAAAGUCUACUAGAAUUCUGGAACCUACUAGAAUAAUCAUGUAUGAGGUACGACUUCCAGUUCACUGAGGGAAAAUAUCUCUGGGACAGAGUAGCCCUUCCCCUACCAGGAAUGCCAUUGUGUGACCUUACCAUGUUAGGAUAUCAUCCGUUCAGGGACAGGCUAGGGGAACGUUGUGGUGUGGCGGCCAUGUGUCAGAGGCACUGUGGGACCUCUAGUGUAGGGCAGAAAAGUUAGAACUUCUGGGAUGCUUUACUUGUUUAUGGCGUCAGUCAAGAAGGCUAUUUGAAAUCUGAAGCAGCUCCAAAGAGCCUGUCCUAGACAAUCCGGGGCAUCUGGUGGUAGUCAAGUAAGCGCCUUGCCUGUUUCAAAGCUGGCUGGAUUCCGCACACAUAAAAGGACCAUGAUGUGCCACGAGCCCCCUAGUGACCCGCUUUGUCAGUCCCAUGUCAGUUAGCUCCUCAUUACAAUGAUGAGUGGAGUCUGUGUCAACCCCUCCUGAAAAGGCUUGAAGAAGCUGGAGUGGGUCCAGCCAAGAGCCACAGACACACUCAAAGAGAUGGAAACUGGCUUCGUGUAGGAAGGCUAAAGGAAUGAGAAUUAUUCCGCCUUGGGUAGAACAACACGGGUAAAGUCUGAAUAACCCAUGCCAGAGUGGAAGCACAUACGACAUUACCUUAGCCUAACCUCUCAUCCCAUUUGUGACUUGGCCAUGGGUCACCUGGAAGUAAUAACCAAUAGCAUGCAUGGGUUCUACACUUCGUAUGACCGUCUCCGGCUUUCAGUAGAGGACUUAGUGGUCCUAUCAUGAUCUGGCCUUUGGCAUGAAGAAGCUGGGUUCUGACACAGGCGUUCUGUCAUGGCUGGAGUUAUUUCCCUAGCGGGCAGUAGACACGGGCAUCGAGCUAAUGGUGUCUUGUGGUAUUUCAGCCAUGGCUCCAACAGCAAAUGUCCUUUAUGGGACCAAGUCCUUGAAAAAAGUCUUUCUCAUCCCAUGACGCACCAAAGGGCCCCAGAGAAGGCUAUUAAUAAUAAGAACUUUCUUGGUUUUCCUUUCAGGUUUUGGAGACAGCACAGGCUGACUUUGAACUUGUGGCUUUGGACUCCUGAUUGCCCUGCCUCUCCCUUCUCAAGUGCUGGGAUUAUAAGUGUGUACCAUCAUGCCUCAAGAACUUUCUGAAUGACUAAAACCCUGACCUCCACCGGACUUUUUACACUAGUAAUCUCAUGUAAUAUCACAUACCUAUCCCCCUUGUACCCUAUCAGAGUUUUGAGCUAGGUCCUGUUACCCAUCUUCAUUCAUGCACUGAAGUCUUAACCUCUGAGACCCCAAGUUGUGACUGUAUUUGGAGAUGGAGUCUUUGAAGAGACUUUAAUGGUGGUCCCUGGGCUGGGUCCCUCACUCUGUGUGACUGGUAUCUUUGUAAGAAAAAUACAUUAUUAUAAGGGGACCCUCACAAAGGAAAAACCAUGUGGAACCAGAGGGAGAAGGUAGACAGCUAAACUCAGGAGUGAGGCCUCCAAAGAAACCAGCUUUGCCCAGACUUUGGCCUUGAGCUUCUAGCUCCAGAUUUGUAAGCCAGUAUGGGUCAGUAGUUUAAAAUACCCAGCUCUUUUCAGGGAAGCCUCAAAUAAGCUACAAUCUUCUGUUUAAAAGAAUUAUUUAUUUUAUGUAUGAGUACACUGUCGCUGUCUUCAGACACACCAGAAGAGGACAUCAGAUCCCAUUACAGAUGGCUGUGAGCCACCAUGUGGUUGCUGGGAAUUGAACUCAGGACCUCUGGAAGAGCAGUCAGUGCUCUUAACCGCUGAGCCAUCUCUCCAGCCCAGCUAUAAUCUUCUUAAUAACCUUAUUACCCACUGGUGUAAGGGUAAGACCCAAACCUGGAGCCUUUGAGUACCUUUCCCAGAACCAAGAACAGAGAAACCAGCAAGGCUCUCUUUGAGGCAUAUGUGUCUGAAAAAACCCAGCCAGCCCCAUCAGGGCACAACAGCUCAGACCAAAGCUUAGAAACAAAUAUUAGCCCAUCUGAUUCUUGUAGAUCAAAGAGCAGAGUGGCUACUGCCAGACUCUGGCAUGUGGAAUUUGGCUUUUGAAAUCAGAUCUCUGCUUUAGUAUAUAAAAUUUAGGAUCAAAUUAAUGGAAACUGGGAAUCGAGUUCUGUGGACUCACCAUGGAUUCCCAUGUGGAGGAAGGAGAAAAUAUCCCUAGAUGUGAGUGAGGGGCUUUGAGGGGCUCUGAGGGGCUCUCACAUAUAAUCCUCGCAUAGAGUCCUUGGUAGACUCUUGGUAGAAUGAUGGUUUCUAGUGGGGAAGCAGCAUUUGGAGGGGGCUACAUGUCUUCCUUAGCAUAUAGGAGUGUUGGAUCAGAGCAGUUGUGAUGUGUCUGAUUUCGGCCCAUCGAGCGCAUGAUCCACGCACACCUUAAUGGUGGCUUCCAUGUUUGUCAGGUACUGUGGGUACCAAGAACUUUAUUUUGAAGGCUGGCAGCUUCCAAAGUAUCCUAUUUUACCUGGGAAUGAAUGGAAGCCCACCUAUGUCUAGCAAUGACCAGAGAUGGUAGGGGUCUCAACUCAAGUCUUCAGGGCAGGUCGGUCUUACCCUAAAGCUCCUGCCUUUUCCCAACACACGACGAUCUUGCAAUCUGCUUGCUUUCCUUUUGCUUUUGAACUUUCUCAGUGUUCAGCCUAGCCCUUAGUACCUCGUCUCUGUGCCCAACUCUGUUGGAUCAGAUGACAGGCAGAGCGUCUAAAGGAGUCACCUCCCAGUUGGACAAAAACAUCAAUCAGUGAUGCUACCCUAAGCGUGUGUGUGAUGACUCUGGCCCCAUGGGUGUGAGGAGUGAGUGUAGCACAAUCCAUCUGAGAACCACGUUGCACAUCCUCAGACAAACAUUGUUGAAGGACACCUGAGGUACAGCGGAUGGCCAGCCCAGCAUUUGAUCUAGCAGGCGCUAAGAAAGUAGGCAUGAAUCAAAUGAGUGAGGCAAAAUGGAUGAAGUUCUUUUUAAAGACUUGUUUGGUUUUCCUGAAACAACUGAAGUUUAACUGACAUUUCUUUUGGUUCUGAAAGCUAGAGGUCAAGGUCAAGGUCAAGGAGGACGGAUUCCCUCCUGUGGGACUCCAGACGGCUGUCUUCUCACUGCAGUCACAUGACUUCUCCAUGGUGGGUGUGCAGAGGGCAAAGGGGGCGGGACAGGAAUGGAUGAAAGGAGAGAAAACAGGGAGGAAAGGAGGAGCACUAAAGAGAACAUGAUAAAGCGAUAAGAGCAUUCCAGAAAGCUGACUUUUUUUUUCUAAGAAGCACACUGAAUUUACAGGGCCAGAGACCAUCUCAUUUAAUUGUAAUUACCAGUUUAAUUAAUUAGGGACCAACUCCAGACACAGCCACUCUAUAGGACUCCAACACUCUGCUCCUAACAUCCGGUGUCUCAAGCUUGUCUGUCUAAACAAAUUCCUUUUAAAAAAAUUUAAAGACUGAUCCGACCUCCUUGGUAUUUACAUAUCUAUUCAAGUUUCUUUUUUAAAAAGUUGUAUUUAUGUGUAUGUGUAUGUGUACGUAUGUACAUGUAUCAUGUGUGUGCUGUUCCCAGGGAGGCCAGAGGAGGGCAUCAGAUCCCACGGAGCUCACGUUACAGGUGGUUGUGAGACACCAGUAGAUGCUGGGAACCUAAGCCAGGUCCUCUGAGAGUAGCCAGUGCUCGUAACACCUGUGCCAUCUCUCCAGUCCUUAGACAGGAUCCUUUUUGGCAUAGAGCAGCACGCUGUUGUACUCUGGGAGACGUGUUUCCAGAGAGGCUGGUGUGUAUUAACACUGCCUGGCUUUCCAAACCCUCAGGGCUGGAGUUUGGAAAGGCUCAUGGUGUAGAGUGGAGUUUGAGGUUAGGAGUUGCAGAGAAAUAUCCAGAGGAUGUUUGGGUUCUGGAAGGUGCAGUUAUUGGAUGCCUAGGUUUUGGGGAAGGUACAGACAGAGUUUGGAGCCACUCUCAGGGCAAACUUUAAGUAACCCAGCAAAGGUACAUUCUCCCUGCGCUGAGAGAAAUCGCUUGGCAGCUCAGUUUGUUGCAGCAAACCCACAAAUGAUCGGGGUGGCUUAAACACCAGCAUGCGUUUCUCUCAGUUUUGAAAGCUAUGAGGUUUACCUGACUCUCUAAAGUCGUUAAUCUCUGGACUGAGGAGUUGGCCCUGUUGGUAAAGUGCUUGACCUGAGUCUGAUCCUCAACUUACACUUAAAAAAAGACCAGUCAGACAAAGAGACAAAAACGUCACCAAAGUAGGCAGAGUGGGGACACUCGUCAUGCCAGCCUUGGGGAGGCAGAGACAGACAGGUGGGUAGAUUCUUGGAGCUUGCAGGCCCAAAAGAAUUCUAGACUGUCGAGUGAUUCUGUCUAAAAUACAACCAAACAAAAGGAGGGAGCUGGGAGAUACAAAUUGAUUGAGAGUUCGUGCUUUGCAUGCAUGAAGGUUUUCCUCUGGCCUCCAAAUUCAUACAUGUGUGUGCAUAUCCCCACAGACAUGUAUUCAAAUACAUACACACACACACACACACACACACACACACACACACACACACACACACACACAACAAGGGCUCCACCUUGAACUUUACUUUCACAAAACACCCUCCCCCUCUAAUUCCCAUCACAUUACAGGUCAGUUCCCAAUGUAAGAUACUGAAAGGAAGGGCACAGCCUGUAGUCUAUACCCAGGGUGAAAAGAUCCUAAUUUUAUUUUUCUUAAGGAGUGGAGAGAAAGGGAGAGGUUGAAGGUCAAGCUUAGACAUCCAUGGGGAACCAAUCUAGAUGUCUGACUCCCCAAGUUGAGGGUAAGAGGCAGACAACCCUUUGGAAAGGGUGCCAGUUCCGGAGAAAAUCCCCAGCCUGUGGAAGUCAAAUCUCACCCCUGGCUGUGUUGAGCCUGUAGAGCUGUGGGAAACUGCUCUGCUCUAAGCGUUUCCUCCGGAUACAGGCUGCAGAGUUGCUGUGUAGGCUUAGAGGAGGACGGUUGAGCAUCAUGGCUACAAAGUAUCCAUCAGAGCCUCAGUGACUUUGCUGGCUGCUACUCUCUGCAUUGUUGAGCUCUUGGGCCUAGCAUGGUUCAACCCAGCUCAGUAAUGCUGGCCCAGUCUGGUAGAUCUUUCCUUGCUUGCUCUGGUCUCUGUUUUAUUUGUUUAUUUUGUUGGGGUCUUUUUUGUUUCCUUUUUGGCACGCGCGCGCGCGCGCGCGCGGGCGUGUGUAUGUUUGUGUGUGUGUGUGUGUAAUAGAUGUAUGUGUCUGUGUGUUGUAUAUAUGUGCUCGUGUGGGUGAGGUGUGUGUGCACGUCUGUGUGUGAGUGCAUGUCUCUGUGUGUGUGUGCAUGUCUUUGUAUGUUUGGUUGUGUGGAGGCCAAAGGUAAAUGGAUGUUGAGUUGAGUGCCUUCUUCCCAUACUCCCCAUCCUACUUUGAGACCUUGUCUCUCCUUGAAUCUGGAACUUAUCCCUUCAGGUUGGCCCUCCCUGAACUCCAUUGUCCGCUUGUCUUUACUCCCAACCCUUCAGUGCUGGGGUCAUACAUGCGCCUCAUGCCCAUUUCAAAAUGGCUGCCAGGGAUCCAACCUCGGGUCCUCACAUUUGCUUGGCCAUCAUUUUACCCCCUAAGCUUCCGGCCUAAGCUUUAUGCCAUUUCUCUGCCCUUCUCUAAGGUCCCUUCCAACAGUUAACAUAAGUUUCUGGGCUUCUAAAGGGAUGUAGGGAGGCUUAU
This is a non-coding RNA of Rattus norvegicus (Norway rat), 12659 nucleotides long. The record is from RefSeq and is a predicted model, not a curated record. Lineage: Eukaryota; Metazoa; Chordata; Mammalia; Rodentia; Muridae.